RNAcentral lists this ribosomal RNA (316 nucleotides) under uncultured fungus. Its description in RNAcentral is "LSU rRNA". It matches the Rfam family "Eukaryotic large subunit ribosomal RNA", at positions 320 to 667 of the family's 3401-position model. Lineage: Eukaryota; Fungi. The record is from RNAcentral.
AUAUUGGCGAGAGACCGAUAGCGAACAAGUACCGUGAGGGAAAGAUGAAAAGCACUUUGGAAAGAGAGUGAAACAGUACGUGAAAUUGUUGAAAGGGAAACGCUUGAAGUCAGUCGCGUCCGCCGGGAUUCAGCUUUCGGGUAUACUUUCCGGUGGACGGGCCAGCAUCACUUUCAAUCAUCGGACAAGGUCGAGAGGAAUGUGGCAUCUUCGGGUGUGUUAUAGCCUCUUGUCGUACACGGUGACUGGGAGUGAGGACCGCCUUUGUAGGAUGCUGGCGUAAUGGCUUUAAACGACCCGUCUUGAAACACGGACC